This 539-nucleotide small RNA is filed under the name Pan troglodytes (chimpanzee). Its description in RNAcentral is "retained intron". The record is from RNAcentral. Lineage: Eukaryota; Metazoa; Chordata; Mammalia; Primates; Hominidae.
AUUUGUGAUGAGGCCUUCCUUGUGAGACAGGGUGAAAGCUCAGGAACUCCUGACACCAGCCUUCCCAUAGCCUUCUAAUGCAGGGGCCUCUUACUGUCCCCCACCGAUCACAGGCUAUUAACUCUGCCUUCCCUUGCUGCCUCCUCUGAAGGGAAGACUCUUGUCCAGCACCCACUUAAUCACCUCCCCACUUGUUCCGUGUUGUCCAGUCUGGGUGGGCUCUGUUAGACCCAUCUGGUCAGGCUCUGUGUCUCUUGCUCAGAUCCUCACCAUGGGACAGUUCUGUUAAAUUCAACUUCUCAGUGUUGGUUCUUCUGUGGUGCUAGGAAAUAUACAAGCUGUCGCACUGCGGGACAUUUUUGUUCAGGCCCAAAAUCGAGACAGCUCACCACCUUCUCUGCAGAUAGAAGAGCCAGAAUGGGAAAAGCGAAGAUCCAUCAACCUGUCUGAGCUCAUUGAUGUUUACAGUGAUGGUGUUGAACUACUCCAGAUGGUGAAGGCACCAGAUUCCAACUGCAGCAACCUUCUGAUUACAACCA